RNAcentral lists this ribosomal RNA (789 nucleotides) under uncultured Sebacinales. RNAcentral describes it as "eukaryotic LSU rRNA". The stretch from base 293 to 446 matches the Rfam family "5.8S ribosomal RNA". Lineage: Eukaryota; Fungi; Basidiomycota; Agaricomycetes; Sebacinales. The record is from RNAcentral.
CGAAGUCAAUAUUGAUUCUUGGUCAUUUAGAGGAAGUAAAAGUCGUAACAAGGUUUCCGUAGGUGAACCUGCGGAAGGAUCAUUAAUGAAAUCAUAGCGGUCGUCUGUGCUGGUGGUGACACAUGUGCACGUCAAUUGCAAAUCCACACACCUGUGCACCUUUGACUGUGAGGUCCGCUUGUUGGUUUGUUCUGACAAGCAGCUGGUCAAACAUCGUGUUAGACCGGGUCUCACGGUAUUUUUUAUACACUCUGAAUGUAAUGGAACGUACUUGCGUAACGCAUAUAAAUACAACUUUCAACAACGGAUCUCUUGGCUCUCGCACCGAUGAAGAACGCAGCGAAAUGCGAUAAGUAAUGUGAAUUGCAGAAUUCAGUGAAUCAUCGAAUCUUUGAACGCACCUUGCACCCUUUGGUAUUCCGAAGGGUACGCCCGUUUGAGUGUCAUUGUAAUCUCACCUCUGCAACCUCGGUCGUGUGAAGUGGAGUUGGGCAGUGUCGUGUAAAGACGACUGGCCUGAAAUGCGUGAGUGUACCCUGCAGCCGCAGCGUCUUCAGUGUGAUAAAUGUCUUCACUGAUCAAAGUUCCUUUGGGACACGUAAGCGAUGUGGGCUCUGCGCUGCGAACCGUCUGUGAAGACAGUGUUGACAGUUUGACCUCAAAUUGGGUGGGACUACCCGCUGAACUUAAGCAUAUCAAUAAGCGGAGGAAAUCACUAAUGAAUUCGCGGCCGCCAUGGAGGUCGACAAUAUGGGACGUCGCUCCCAAUGCGUUGGAUGCAGAGUCGUA